This 253-nucleotide ribosomal RNA is filed under the name uncultured bacterium. Its description in RNAcentral is "partial 16S ribosomal RNA". It matches the Rfam family "Bacterial small subunit ribosomal RNA", at positions 524 to 776 of the family's 1533-position model. The record is from RNAcentral.
UACGGAAGGUCCAGGCGUUAUCCGGAUUUAUUGGGUUUAAAGGGAGCGUAGGCGGACGAUUAAGUCAGCUGUGAAAGUUUGCGGCUCAACCGUAAAAUUGCAGUUGAAACUGUUUGUCUUGAGUGCACGCAGGGAUGUUGGAAUUCAUGGUGUAGCGGUGAAAUGCUUAGAUAUCAUGAAGAACUCCGAUCGCGAAGGCAUAUGUCCGGAGUGCAACUGACGCUGAGGCUCGAAAGUGCGGGUAUCGAACAGG